Molecule: unclassified non-coding RNA, 205 nt
Filed under: Hevea brasiliensis (rubber tree)
Lineage: Eukaryota; Viridiplantae; Streptophyta; Magnoliopsida; Malpighiales; Euphorbiaceae
Source: RNAcentral
AAAGGGUUGGAAUGUCUAGAUCGUAAAUUUGAGCAUGGAUUGCUUGCUCAGUAACUAGCAUGUGGGCUGCAUUCAAGCUGAUAUAUAUGCUAAGCUGGACUUGAGCUCGAGCACUUGUAUAUCACUGCAAGUUUAACUACAAGUACUAAUAACCAAUACAUGCCUACAUGCAUAAAAAAAUAUGCAAAUUGAUGCCACUUUCCAG